Molecule: ribosomal RNA, 612 nt
Filed under: uncultured Brevundimonas sp.
Lineage: Bacteria; Pseudomonadati; Pseudomonadota; Alphaproteobacteria; Caulobacterales; Caulobacteraceae
Description: bacterial SSU rRNA
Rfam family: Bacterial small subunit ribosomal RNA
Source: RNAcentral
GAACGUGCCUUUAGGUUCGGAAUAACUCAGGGAAACUUGUGCUAAUACCGAAUGUGCCCUUCGGGGGAAAGAUUUAUCGCCUUUAGAGCGGCCCGCGUCUGAUUAGCUAGUUGGUGGGGUAAUGGCCCACCAAGGCUACGAUCAGUAGCUGGUCUGAGAGGAUGACCAGCCACAUUGGGACUGAGACACGGCCCAAACUCCUACGGGAGGCAGCAGUGGGGAAUCUUGCGCAAUGGGCGAAAGCCUGACGCAGCCAUGCCGCGUGGAUGAUGAAGGUCUUAGGAUUGUAAAAUCCUUUCACCGGUGAAGAUAAUGACUGUAGCCGGAGAAGAAGCCCCGGCUAACUUCGUGCCAGCAGCCGCGGUAAUACGAAGGGGGCUAGCGUUGCUCGGAAUUACUGGGCGUAAAGGGAGCGUAGGCGGACAUUUAAGUCAGGGGUGAAAUCCCAGAGCUCAACUCUGGAACUGCCUUUGAUACUGGAUGUCUUGAGUGUGAGAGAGGUAAGUGGAACUCCGAGUGUAGAGGUGAAAUUCGUAGAUAUUCGGAAGAACACCAGUGGCGAAGGCGACUUACUGGCUCAUUACUGACGCUGAGGCUCGAAAGCGUGGGGAG